UAACGGCGAGUGAAGCGGCAAAAGCUCAAAUUUGAAAUCUGGCACCUUCGGUGUCCGAGUUGUAAUUUGAAGAAGGUAACUUUGGGAUUGGCUCUUGUCUAAGUUCCUUGGAACAGGACGUCACAGAGGGUGAGAAUCCCGUGCGAUGAGAUGACCAAUCCUAUGUAAAGUGCUUUCGAAGAGUCGAGUUGUUUGGGAAUGCAGCUCUAAGUGGGUGGUAAAUUCCAUCUAAAGCUAAAUAUUGGCGAGAGACCGAUAGCGAACAAGUACAGUGAUGGAAAGAUGAAAAGAACUUUGAAAAGAGAGUGAA
RNAcentral lists this ribosomal RNA (310 nucleotides) under Schwanniomyces occidentalis var. occidentalis. Its description in RNAcentral is "LSU rRNA". It matches the Rfam family "Eukaryotic large subunit ribosomal RNA", at positions 84 to 391 of the family's 3401-position model. The record is from RNAcentral. Lineage: Eukaryota; Fungi; Ascomycota; Pichiomycetes; Serinales; Debaryomycetaceae.